Molecule: ribosomal RNA, 468 nt
Filed under: uncultured bacterium
Lineage: Bacteria
Description: partial 16S ribosomal RNA
Rfam family: Bacterial small subunit ribosomal RNA
Source: RNAcentral
GACGAACGCUGGCGGCGUGCUUAACACAUGCAAGUCGAACGGAAAGGCCCUGCUUUUGUGGGGUGCUCGAGUGGCGAGCGGGUGAGUAACACGUGAGUAACCUGCCCUUGACUUUGGGAUAACUUCAGGAAACUGGGGCUAAUACCGGAUAGGAGCUCCUGCUGCAUGGUGGGGGUUGGAAAGUUUCGGCGGUUGGGGAUGGACUCGCGGCUUAUCAGCUUGUUGGUGGGGUAGUGGCUUACCAAGGCUUUGACGGGUGGCCGGCCUGAGAGGGUGACCGGGCACAUUGGGACUGAGAUACGGCCCAGACUCCUACGGGAGGCAGCAGUGGGGAAUAUUGCACAAUGGGCGGAAGCCUGAUGCAGCAACGCCGCGUGCGGGAUGACGGCCUUCGGGUUGUAAACCGCUUUCGCCUGUGACGAAGCGUGAGUGACGGUAAUGGGUAAAGAAGCACCGGCUAACUACGUG